CCUACGGGAGGCAGCAGUGGGGGAUAUUGGGCAAUGGAGGCAACUCUGACCCAGCAACGCCGCGUGGAUGAUGGAGGUCUUCGGAUUGUAAAGUUCUUUUCUAAGGGAAGAAGCAAGUGACGGUACCUUAGGAAUAAGCCUCGGCUAACUACGUGCCAGAAGCCGCGGUAAUACGUAGGAGGCAAGCGUUAUCCGGACGGACUGGGCGUAAAGGGUGCGUAGGUGGUUUGACAAGUUGGUAGCGUAACUCCGGAGCUCAACUUCGGAACUACUACCAAAACUGUUGGACUCGAGUGCAGGAGGGGGAAGCGGAAUUCCUAGUGUAGCGGUGAAAUGCGUAGAUAUUAGGAGGAACACCGGCGGCGAAGGCGGCUUACUGGACUGUGACUGACGUUGAGGCUCGAAAGCGUGGGGAGCAAACAGGAUUAGAUACCCUAGUAGUC
This 443-nucleotide ribosomal RNA is filed under the name uncultured bacterium. RNAcentral's name for it is "partial 16S ribosomal RNA". It matches the Rfam family "Bacterial small subunit ribosomal RNA", at positions 338 to 795 of the family's 1533-position model. The record is from RNAcentral.